This 925-nucleotide long non-coding RNA is filed under the name Numida meleagris (helmeted guineafowl). Its description in RNAcentral is "lncRNA (ENSNMEG00000003906.1)". Lineage: Eukaryota; Metazoa; Chordata; Aves; Galliformes; Numididae. The record is from RNAcentral.
AAUAAUGAUGGCACUGGGACCAGUGUGGGAGUGGCACUGGGACCAGUAUGGGGCUGGCACUGGGACCAGUAUGGGGCUGGUGUGGGGCUGGUGCAUGGGUGGCACUGGGACCAGUAUGGAGCUGGAGAGGGGAUGGUGCAUGGAUGGCACUGGGACCAGUGUGAGAAAGGCACUGGGACCAGUAUGGGGAUGGCACUGGGACCAGCAUGAGAGUGGCACUGGGACCAGUAUGGGGCUGGCACUGGGACCAGUAUGGGGCUGGUGUGGGGAUGGUCCAUGGAUGGCACUGGGACCAGUAUGGGGACAGCACUGGGACCAGUAUGGGGCUGGUGUGGGGCUGGUGCAUGGGUGGCACUGGGACCAGAAUAAGGGAGGUACUGGGACCAGUAUGGGGCUGGUACAUGGAUGGCACUGGGACCAGUGUGAGAAAGGCACUGGGACCAGUAUGGGGAUGGCACUGGGACCAGUAUGGGGAUGGUACAUGGAUGGCACUGGGACCAGUGUGCGGGUGGCACUGGGACCAGUAUGGGGCUGGAGUGGGGAUGGAAUGUGGGUGGCACUGGUAUUGCAGUGGGGAUGGCACUGGGACCAGUAUGGGGACGGGACUGGGACCAGCAUGGGGCUGGUACAUGGAUGGCACUGGGACCAGAAUAAGGGUGGCACUGGGACCAGUGUGAGAGUGGCACUGGGACCAGUAUGGGGCUGGUGUGGGCAUGGUACAUGGAUGGCACUGGGACCAGUGUGAGAAAGGCACUGGGACCAGAAUAAGGAUGGCACUGGGACCAGUAUGGGGCUGGAGUGGGGCUGGUUCAUGGGUGGCACUGGGACCAGUAUGAGAGUGGCACUGGGACCAGCGUAGGCAAAGUAUGGGGAUGGAAUGUGGGUGACACUGGUUUUGGAGUGGGAAUGGCACUGGGACCAGUAU